GCGGGGAGCGCAACCGCGGCGGCCGCCGGGGCCGAGGCUGUGCAACGCGGCGGGCGGGCCGCAGAGGCCAAGCCGGGGAGCGGGGGUCCCCGCCUCCCCCCUUCGCUGCCGCCCACGGGGCAGGGAGCCAGCGGGCGGGCCUGUUUUGGAAGAGAAGGAUUUGGAAAAGGCAGGAUCUCAGAAGAAGAAAAGACAACUUCUCCUGCUUUUUCAACUCCCAACUGAUUUUUCAACAUUAAAUGAAUUAGUCCAAAUGACGAAAAUAGUCUCUCUGUGCCUGCAGAAGCAGCUACUACUGUCAAAAACUGGUUUAGCACUUCAACAAAUUCUGGUUCCAGGUGCUUAGCCAGUGACUUCCCCCGGUUCAGUUGUUACCAAUGAUUAGGAGAAUUCUUAUUAGGACCCUGACCCCUCCCAUACAGGUUCGCCCCCUUAAAUUAGCUUCUAUCAACUAUGGCAAUCCCCAAAAUCACAUUAAUCGCUGUUAAAGGUCAAAAACAAAUAAGGUUUAUUAUAAAUAAGGCUACAUUUUAGUCUCGCGUAUUUUUAGUAAAAGUCAUGGACAGGUCAUGGGUGAUAAACAAAAAUUCAUGGCCCGUAACCUGUCCAUGACUUGUACUAUAUACCCCUGACUAAAUCUUGACUUCCAUGACAAACUCACAACCUUCAUUAUAAACACUUGGUGGUUUAAAACCCAAAUAGGUUUUAAGCCCAGACACAAACUAAAAGCAUACGUAGGUUAUAAAAGACCACAAGUAAGUUAUUUACUUUACUGAGUCUUGUGGAGGAAUGGAGCCAAACAAAUCUGGAUCCGGAGCCUCAGGAACUCGAACCAAGACCAACAGGAAACCAGGGACCCAGGAACCACAGGAUGACAUGCCACAGCGGAGAUCUCAGGAAAAGGCCCAUCUGUAUCACAGACCUCACUGUUGUGAUGCACAGUGUGCCAAAAGACCAAGAGUGGAACAGCUCACUGAAUCCAUGAAGCACCAAGUGACAUGGAUUAGAAUAGACACCUGAAAGUGACCUUCAUUUACCAUCUUCUCCAACUCAAGACCUCCGUCUUUGAUGCUAUGACAUUCUGGGGUACAGUCCUGACCAGUGAGGUGCUGAGUCAUCCCUGCUGUGCAACAAUGCUUUGCUGAUGUAGCUCCCAACCUGAGCCCCUCACAAACAGCAUGCAGGCCAUACCCUGUGUUUCUGUGUAGCUGCAGCCUGGCAGCACACUCGAGUCUCAUGUUUGUUUCCACCAGUCUUGUUACCACUUGCAAGGUGACCCAACGCACUCCCAGUCCUAAAUUUCCCCCCAAAACUUGUGUUCUGCACUGUCCAGCCCUCUCCUGGACAUUCAGAUAUUUUAGGUUUGUUGUCCUUUAUGGGGCUUAAUGUCCAAGAGUUUGCUACUUUAAUUGGAGUUACCCACACAAUUCAGUUUAAACAGAACACGGGAUUAGUUUUGAUUAAAGAAUAAAACAAGCUUAUUUAACUAUAGGAGAUAUUUUUAGUGAGAACAAGUAUAAGGCAUUAUAGUCAGAAAUGAUUACAGGAGAAAUAAAGAUAAAACGCUUCCUAGUACUGAAACUUAAACUAGACUUUGUUCAAGGUGAAAUCCCCUACCACAUGUUCCCAUUAACACUGCUGACCAAAUUCUCACACCAAGAUUUUGUUCCAAAGUCCAAAGGCUGUUUCUAUUGUCUUGAUGGAAAGAGAGAGAGAUGGACAGGAAGAGAUAAGUUGGGGUGCCUUUGCCCUUCACUUUCACAGUUCAGUCAACCCUUGAAAUGCAUUUUCUGGAAGGUUACCCCUAGAUAAAGUUCCUUCUCACUGUGAGGAGAGAGACAAGGAGUCUAGUGGUGAAAGAAGUUCCAUGCUGUAGUUUGCUAAGAUGCAGAACUGUUUGUUUCUGCCCCCCUUCCUUGUCCAUGAAUGACCUCUUGACAGGAGACUGCCCAUCAACGCUGACGACACCUGGGUAGAGAUGUCAGCUUGUCCUUUCUCUUUGAGAAACUGGCUUACCCAAACUGGUCUGGUAAACAUAUUUCAGACCUAAUUUCAGCUUAUAAUUUUACAUAUAAUGUUGCUAUACACAUUUCAUCAUGGUAUUAUUGACCAGUGAGUUAUUCGUUUUCAAAUGAUACCUCACAAGGCACAUGUUAUACAACGAUUAUUACAAUAGCGUGUAGGGUGCAAAUGGCUGGGGUGCAUUUGGUCACGGAUGCUCCUGACUUCUCUGACCUCUCCAUCCAUGCAGCCACCAUUUACUAUCUCCUCUCCAUCCCAAAAAUUGGAAAAUUCCUCCCAAAAAGCUUUGUUAACUGACAGUUAAGAUAAGACUUAGUUUUAAGGGAAGUAAUUGGGAUGUUCAAUGACUUACCUGCUUAUUUCCUUGCUUUUUAUGGAUUGCAUUCGUGAGACUGAUUUACAGAGAGAUUUGCAUUCUGCAGCUAACUGAAGACCAAUUUAUUCAUGAGCAUUUUUAAACAUUGUAUUAGUAAUAAAAAUUUAACUUGUGAAUGAAACUGAUUAAAAACAUGUAUAGGUUAAUAGCGUCAGCCAUCACCAUGCCAACUCAUUGGCAUAGACUCCAUUUAUUAUACCAUUCCUUGAUGUUUCAAUGAACAUUAUGGCACAAAAAAGUGAUCUUCUGUUUUGGUGUCAUUAGACUAAAAUAUUUUCAAUACAAGAAUGGUUCAGAUUCACUCAACAAUCUUUAUAACUAAAGACAAUACUCCUUAUAGAAAUGCAAUCAAUGUGAACCCAUCAUCAGAUAAGUGUACCUUUUGAGUAAGGCAAUCAGUUAGAAUCCAACGCUGAAAUAGCCCUAUGGUAAGCCAAACUAUGUAUUUAUUCACAUGUGGCAUGUACAGAAGGAAGGAAUAAGGCAAUCUAAAACUUAAAAUUAUUAUAUUUUAAUUGUCAGUCACAAACUGUUCAAUUUAAUAUUUAUGUUAUGCUUUUCACUCCUGCCAUUUAUCAGUUAUAAAAUAGCUAUUUAUUGAGGUGCUCUGAGCACCUCAAAUCACUAAUGGAUUUUAUCCUCACAACAUCCCUUGGAAGUAGGAAAGUAUUAUUCCCAUUUUACAGAUAGCACAUGGUAGAUUAGGUGCCCAAGAUCAUACCAGGAAUUAAAGGCAGGUUUCCUGCUGUCCUAAGCACUAGAUAAGUGGGGGGUUUUUUUGUUUUUUUUUCCCACUGAAUACAUCCAAUGAAGUGAGCUGUAGCUCAUGAAAGCUUAUGCUCAAAUAAAUUUGUUAGUCUCUAAGGUGCCACAAGUCCUCCUUUUCUGUUUUCAAACUGUUGCUCAUGACUUCGGGAGGUGGGGAUGUGUCACAAGAGGUAAUCAGAGGAAUGGCAAGGUCUUGAUAAAAUUAUUAUAAUCAAAAGAAAAGAAAAACUUGCUUCCCCGCUCCCCACAUAUCUUUACUUUUUCAGGUCAAGUAUUCGCUGUCAACCUCUUGAAACACACAAUAAAUUGUAAAAACAUUUAACUUUGAGAGGUACGUUGUCAACUUGAAAAGGAUGACACACACACACACAGGUUCAGAUCUACACUGCAGGCCCAGUUCUGCCACUUUUACUUCUGCUGUUACUUCACUCCAAGAGCAGUCUUAAUGAGUUCAGCUGGACUACUUGUGGGUUAAGGAACUAAUAAAGGCUUGAUUCCAUACUCAUUGGCAUAACACUCAUUGUCUUUAAUGGUGCAGGAUCAAGCCUGUAGUGAAUAAGGGUGGCAGAAUCGGGCCCACUGUGUUCACAGAUCGAUAGCAUUCCUAAUAUUCAUGCAUAUUUUGGCUAUGUUUUCAGUUUGGACAUUUUUCAUCAGCUUAAUUUAUGGCUGUCCUAUGAUUUUCUGAUAGCUGGUAUAGUUACCUCAGUCUUGACACAAAAAUACCAUGUUUAAUGGUAGAUUUAAGAACACUGUGUUCUAAUGCCUGAAAUAUAGGUUACUAAUGCGCAGAAAUCAAAACCUAUUAUUCAAAUGCCUAGUUCAACUGGUUAAUUAUUGAAGUUCUUGGUAGAAAUAGUUGACUGCUCUAGGGCAGGAGAAUAGCUAUUUUUUAUCAGCAGCAGUUGAGGCACAGUUUCUUUUGUGAGAUACAACAAGGUCAAACAUCUGGAGUACUGCAGGAGUUGGAGAGAGAAUUUCAAAGUUCCUUUGUUUGAAAGCUCUUAUCUCCAAAAAGAGCCUUGUGCAAAUCAUGAAGUUGAAUUAAUUGUUUUGUGGGCAGAAGGUGGUGAUUUCCACCAAUUGUUACAGAUAAAGAAAACGCUCAUUAAAAAUUAAAAUACUAUUUUUAAAUUAAGAUUUUAGCUCUUUAAAAAAACUGAUUAGAUUUCAAAUUGAUGUCUCUUAAAACACAUUUCACAGACAAGAAAUACCAUAUUCUUACUUUGUAAUAUAUGGAGAGAGAGAGAGAGAGAGAGAGAGAGAGAGAGCAUGCACACACACUUGUGAAUAUUAUUGGAUUGAGAGCCCUGGAGACUAAAGCCCUCUAUAUUCCAAAACAGAUACAGCAGAGAUGAGACCACUAGUUUAAGGGUCCCUAACAGUAUGCCUCUAAUCUGACCUGGAGACUAUCGCACAUUCUAAGUCUUCAAUUUCAUUUAGAAUACUGCCUAAGCAACUGGGACACCCAUGCCCCUGGAUUGUUUCCAAAAGACAUUUCCCCACCACUACUAUUGCAGUAUCAGUCUUUAGGGUAGACUGAUAGUGGAAAUGCAAAAAUAUACUGAUUUAUCUACCCAAGUACUUAUGUGACCCCUAUUACUUCAAUACCUGAGUGUGCCUCAAAAUAUUAAAUGCAUUGAUCCUCACAAAAUCCCUGUGAGGUAGGGGAAGAGCUGUUAUUCCUCUUUCUACAGAUGAGGAAUGAGGCACAGUGAGGCUAAGGGACUUGCCAAACGUCACCCAGGAAGUCUAUGGCAGUGAAUUGAAGCCAGGUCUCCCAAGUCCUAGGUUAGUUCCCCCUGGACCAUCCUGCCUCUGAUAACUCAAAGCUGUACCAAUAGAACGCUAAAGUGCCAUUUCAACAUCUCUUACGGCAGAUACAGACUUUUUAUUAAAAAGAAAAGGAGUACCGGUGGCACCUUAGAGACUAACAAAUUUAUUAGAGCAUAAGCUUUCGUGAGCUACAGCUCACUUCAUCGGAUGCAUUACUUUUUAUUAAGUCUACAAGGGAUUAUUAUAACCAACUGCAGAAUACAGGCCACAUUUGAUGGUAGUUAAUCAUAUGCACAGUGAAUUCAACUGUGAUGUAUAUUUCCUAUGUUUUAUUUGGACUUCUAAAUAUGUUUUUGAUCUAGAAUGGGAACUUUCAUGAUAAAGUUAAAUGAGAACAUUUUUCUAAUACCUGAUACAUUUAAUAAAAUUUGACACACUUAAAUAUUAAUGAUGAAAAGAAUAUUUUUACAAUAAAGAAAUGUCCUGGCCAUUUGUUUUCUGAAUUCACUGUGUGUG
This is an RNA transcript of Dermochelys coriacea (leatherback sea turtle), 5458 nucleotides long. It is a transcript of the gene named translation initiation factor IF-2-like, with no coding region annotated. The record is from RefSeq and is a predicted model, not a curated record. NCBI's taxonomy places the organism in Eukaryota, Metazoa, Chordata, Testudines, Dermochelyidae. The transcript is spliced from 5 exons.